UGCGAUGAUGAUGAGUUUACAAAAAAUCUCGUUAAUCUGAUGCUAACGUGAGGAUUUUUGUCUCAUCCAUUCAUUAAAGAUUCUGAGC
Molecule: small nucleolar RNA, 88 nt
Organism: Corylus avellana
Lineage: Eukaryota; Viridiplantae; Streptophyta; Magnoliopsida; Fagales; Betulaceae
Product: small nucleolar RNA U30
Source: RefSeq, a predicted model, not a curated record